Molecule: long non-coding RNA, 473 nt
Organism: Homalodisca vitripennis (glassy-winged sharpshooter)
Lineage: Eukaryota; Metazoa; Arthropoda; Insecta; Hemiptera; Cicadellidae
Exons: 2
Source: RefSeq, a predicted model, not a curated record
GAAACAUCUUUAUUCAUUGUGUUCAGAGACGCUCACAUGUGAUGUGAUUCUGUUGUUGUUUACUCUUGUCAUUGAUACUUUCAUGAUUCUUGAGGUGUCAAAAUGUCGAAGAGAAUUCUUGAUGACGAAGAAAUAGAAGAGUGUGAUACAGAAAUUGGAAAAUCUACAUUAUUUAUGGAUCUGUAGAAAUACGACGGUCCGCCUCUUCCCAUCAGCCGAAAAGAACUACAAGACGGCGAUGCGCCUUUUGUAGCAACAAGAAGAAACAAAUGUCGACAUUCUGGAUGUGUUCCAUUUGCUGUGUUCCUCUGUGUUUGAGCAAAAACAAGGACUGUUUCCAAAAGUACCACUCACAGCAGUAAAUUAGGCCAGAAACUCUCAGUAAAUGAUUGUUUUUUUAAAUUUUCUUCUGACAAUAAUCAUACUUAUAUGUAUCUUUAUCAUAUAAUAAUAUAACCUCAGUUUGACCUGGA